RNAcentral lists this transfer RNA (67 nucleotides) under human gut metagenome. The stretch from base 4 to 62 matches the Rfam family "tRNA", at positions 8 to 63 of the family's 71-position model. Rfam says of the family: Transfer RNA (tRNA) molecules are approximately 80 nucleotides in length. Their secondary structure includes four short double-helical elements and three loops (D, anti-codon, and T loops). Further hydrogen bonds mediate the characteristic L-shaped molecular structure. tRNAs have two regions of fundamental functional importance: the anti-codon, which is responsible for specific mRNA codon recognition, and the 3' end, to which the tRNAs corresponding amino acid is attached (by aminoacyl-tRNA synthetases). tRNAs cope with the degeneracy of the genetic code in two manners: having more than one tRNA (with a specific anti-codon) for a particular amino acid; and 'wobble' base-pairing, i.e. permitting non-standard base-pairing at the 3rd anti-codon position. The record is from RNAcentral.
UGAUAGCUCAGCUGGAUAGAGUGUCUGACUACGAAUCAGAAGGUCGGGGGUUCGAGUCCCUUCCGGC